CGGGCACUGCCCUUCCCGUGCAGGGGAGAAUUCCGGUGGCCUUACUCAAUUCCGAGGGAGCUGGCUCUGAGCGGAUCCUGGUCCGUUUACCUGGCGCCCACCUGUUCUUACAGGUCCUCGGGAAUUUAAAAACCCCACGUUUGCGGUGGUCCCGUC
Molecule: unclassified non-coding RNA, 156 nt
Filed under: Tranquillimonas alkanivorans
Lineage: Bacteria; Pseudomonadati; Pseudomonadota; Alphaproteobacteria; Rhodobacterales; Roseobacteraceae
Description: 6S / SsrS RNA
Source: RNAcentral